This 157-nucleotide ribosomal RNA is filed under the name Fomitopsis betulina (razor strop fungus). RNAcentral's name for it is "Piptoporus betulinus (razor strop fungus) 5.8S ribosomal RNA". The stretch from base 1 to 125 matches the Rfam family "5.8S ribosomal RNA", at positions 30 to 154 of the family's 154-position model. From Rfam's summary of the family: 5.8S ribosomal RNA (5.8S rRNA) is a component of the large subunit of the eukaryotic ribosome. The record is from RNAcentral. Lineage: Eukaryota; Fungi; Basidiomycota; Agaricomycetes; Polyporales; Fomitopsidaceae.
GCAUCGAUGAAGAACGCAGCGAAAUGCGAUAAGUAAUGUGAAUUGCAGAAUUCAGUGAAUCAUCGAAUCUUUGAACGCACCUUGCGCUCCUUGGUAUUCCGAGGAGCAUGCCUGUUUGAGUGUCAUGGAAUCAUCAACUCUAUUUACUUUUGUGAAU